AACGAACGCUGGCGGCGUGCCUAACACAUGCAAGUCGAACGAGAAAGCCCUUCGGGGUGAGUAGAGUGGCGCACGGGUGAGUAACACGUAGGUGAUCUACCGAACAGGUGGGGGAUAACCAGAAGAAAUUCUGGCUAAUACCGCAUACGAAUGACAAAUUUGAAUAUAGUUGUUGAAAGGAUGCCUCUGCAUAUGCAUUCGCUGUUUGAUGAGCCUGCGGGACAUUAGCUUGAUGGUGGGGUAACGGCCUACCUUGGCGACGAUGUCUAGCGGAUCUGAGAGGAUGAUCCGCCACACUGGAACUGAGACACGGUCCAG
This 318-nucleotide ribosomal RNA is filed under the name uncultured bacterium. RNAcentral's name for it is "bacterial SSU rRNA". It matches the Rfam family "Bacterial small subunit ribosomal RNA", at positions 29 to 334 of the family's 1533-position model. The record is from RNAcentral.